UAGACUUCUCUCACCUCCUCCGCUCUCGCAUCUCGCCCUCGCAAAAUCAGGCGUGCGCCGCCGCUCGCUCUCCCCCGGCUCCCCCUCGCCCGCGUACGCCCGCUCUCCCAUCGCCGUGUCUCCACUCUCCAUUCGGGCUCCCUCGUCCAUCUAGCUAUUGGCGCUGCCCUCCCUCUUGUGUCAUCAGGCGCCAGCGCCGGCGCCGCCGCACUCCAUUCCCAUAGCCAGCCGCCGGAGCUGGUGUCUCCUCCAUCCUCCUGGUCGGUCUAACCGCCACGACAUUGGAGGGGAAUGGGGGUUGUCAGAUCCGGCUGUUCCCUACCUUGGGGCGACUGGAUCCGUCCAGCGCCGCAUGGUCCUCCUGCAGAUCCCCAUUUUCAGUGAUAAACGGGUAUUUUCUUUUAAUUAGUCAUUCUUACUUUGUGCGCAGUAGCUAGCAUGAUUAGUUUGAUGCGUUUAUGCUCAGGUGCGAGGGCCACACGUCCAGGGGUGGGCAGGCUUGUUGUACUUCCCCUUUGCGGCGGUACUCAUUCUCGCUGACCCUCGCAUCUCCUCAAUAUACAAGCUUUACAGGUUUCGUAUAUUAAUUAUCAUUGCUUUGGAUCUUAAAUAACUCUGACAAAUCUUUUUAACUUAAUUAUUUUGCUGAUCAAAAUGCAUUUGUUAUCAGUUUUCAAGAAAGAUAUAUAACUUGAUUCAAGAAUUUGUUAAUCCUGUACAAAGUUUAGAUUUUGACUAUAUAUAGUGCAUCACGGUCAUCUUUGCUUGCCUGAUCAGGAAACGUAGACAGGGAUGUUACUCCACUAGAAGUCUUGAACAUACCUUAUAGGUGUUGAGCUCAGCAGAAAAUUUAUAUGUUGAACUAUAGAAUUUGGAUAAUUACUUACUCAGACUACUAAAUUAAGUAUAUAAAAUUUGUGGAUUAAUGUUCAUUCCAAUCCUUUUAGGGGCAUUUACAAAUGCAGAGAAUGCAAGUACUUCAUAUGUUCUGAAUAUAUGCAAACUAAAGUAUUUUACAGAAAUUCGGUAUGAGUAUAUUAAUUCAAGUUGGCAUUUUUAUACUUACUGAUUUGCACUUUUACCAUUUUGUGUCCUUAUCUUCUUAGCCUGAAAUAAAUUGGACUUUAAUUAAUGCAAUCCAUCUAUGUACCUCUGAAGAGCAUGCAUCCAGUUGAGAUCACUGAUCAUUAGGUGCGGAAAAUCUUAGCACUUCUUUUCUCUGAAAUAAACUCCUAUUUCCGUUGUCAAAAUUAUAUAUAUAGAAAAAUGCUUUGCAGGUUAGUUCCUGUAGAUCUUGUUUCAUCAUGUACUCAGUGGUUUUGCUUCUUGAACAUAUAAUAAUUCUCGGUUUCUAUACUUUCCUUUGAUCACUAAAAAUUCCAGAAGUGAUGGUGGCAAACGCAUUUGGAUAAGAUAAAUCUUAAUUUGGGCUAUGAUGGAGUGAGUGGUCUCUGUUGUUUAGCUAUGUUUUAGCUGCUUAAUGUUCUGUGACAAAAUACUUUAUGUUAAGUUCCUGUAUUGCAAUUUAGACGGUCUUGUCUUAAGGGGGCAUAAUAAUCUUUAGUUCCUGUAUGAUGAGGUGAUCUAAUCAUCUAAGGCUUCCUGCUGCAAUAUUGAAUAGUAGUGUAAAGGACAUUGAAUGUGGGCAGGUUAGUAUUUUUGAAUCUUCUAGUAUGUAUUCACAUUUUUAUUGCACUACUAGGCCACCUCAGUUUAUAGAUUUUAGUAAAUUAGCAAUAUACACAAUGAAAAGAAAACUGUUGUGUUAAGGAAAUUCUUUAUUUGCCAUCCAGAAUGAAAAGAACAUGAGGUUCAGUGCAUCCAGUUAAUGUGUUGCCCCUUUGUUUUUUAAGAUCAAACUAGUAUUUCACAGCUGAGUUUAAAGAGGGAAUAAAUUCUGAUUUACUCGGUAUACAUACGCUAUUUUGUUUGGCCAACCUGUGCUGCUUUUUACCCAUGCAUGCUGUUCUAGUUGCGGCAUCUGCUAUGCUCUGAUUAACUGGCACAGCUACUCUGGUAUGAUUAGCUAUUUUGGACUUUGGUUAGGAUUGGAGGCUGUGCUGUUUGGCUAUUGGUUUUGCAAACCAUGACUAUUAGAGGGCAGCAAACAUCUGAUUAUACACUAAUUGCUUUUGUAUUUCCUUUUCUUUAAUCUUAUCUUAACAUGCACUGUUCAAGAACUAAUGCAUGUACCUCACUUGUUUUCAGAUUCCUCAUACUGGAUAGUGUCCUUAACCUUGGUGGAUAUGGGGCUGUAGCAUAUGAUUAGGUCUGAACUGCUAAGGGUGGUGCUACUGCCUCUGGUUUUUCCUUAGUUCAAUUUUAUCACCUCUUAAUCAAGUGAUUUAUGUGAAGCCAAAAAGGACUUGCCACCCUUAGGAUCGUCAAUGUACAAAUUCUUUCUUAGCUUUUUUUUUUUUAAUUCACAAUCCUCUGUUAAAAUGCUGAGGAGAAUGGUCAAUUGGUCAUGUACAUGAUGAAUGAAUGAAUGAAAUGAAUCAGACAUUUGAGGGUGGUUGUCAUUGUGAAUGUCAUUAGCUAUUGAAAUUGGUAUGCUCAUGUAAACAGGUGUAAUGGACAAUAAUGUGAAAUAGUUUUCUUUUUAAUGGUAGCAGAGCUUGCUGUCAGACAGUGUGUCGGCAAAUCUACUUUUUUCAUCAACUCGUCUGUCGGUAAAGAUGUUUCUGUCGCUAGACAUGUCUGUCGUUGAAGGUAAUAUAGGGGUCAGUUCAUCUGUCGGUAAAGAUUUAUCUGUCGGAAAAGCCCUUUGCCGACAGGCUUUCGCCUGAUACACGUAAUCUGUCGGAAAACUCUCUACCGACAGACAGGAUGAUGCUAAAGGUGGUAUUUACCGAUAGAUGAGCUGUUGCAGCUUUCAGGUCAUGGUGUAGUGACUUUUGUGAAGUAUGUAAAACUAUAUGUAUACAUAAAAGUAUACUUAACAAUGAAUUAAAUGAUAGGAAAAGAAUUAAUAAUUACUUAAAUUUUUUGAAAAAGACGAACGGUCAAACAUGUCUUAAAAAAAUCAACGGCG
Molecule: long non-coding RNA, 3034 nt
Filed under: Oryza sativa (Asian cultivated rice)
Lineage: Eukaryota; Viridiplantae; Streptophyta; Magnoliopsida; Poales; Poaceae
Description: long non-coding RNA (OSAT_LNC001798)
Source: RNAcentral